Molecule: unclassified non-coding RNA, 329 nt
Filed under: soil metagenome
Description: partial contains 5.8S ribosomal RNA, internal transcribed spacer 2, and large subunit ribosomal RNA
Rfam family: 5.8S ribosomal RNA (bases 1-120)
Source: RNAcentral
GAUGAAGAACGUAGCGAAAUGCGAUAAGUAAUGUGAAUUGCAGAAUUCAGUGAAUCAUCGAAUCUUUGAACGCACAUUGCGCCCCCUGGUAUUCCGGGGGGCAUGCCUGUCCGAGCGUCAUUACAACCCUCAAGCUCUGCUUGGUAUUGGGCCCCGCCAGUUCUGGCGGGCCCUAAAGUCAGUGGCGGUGCCUUCCGGCUCCGAGCGUAGUAAUUCUUCUCGCUCUGGAGACCCGGUUGUGUGCUUGCCAACAACCCCCAAUUUUUUAAGGUUGACCUCGGAUCAGGUAGGGAUACCCGCUGAACUUAAGCAUAUCAAUAAGCGGAGGA